This 448-nucleotide ribosomal RNA is filed under the name uncultured bacterium. RNAcentral's name for it is "bacterial SSU rRNA". It matches the Rfam family "Bacterial small subunit ribosomal RNA", at positions 30 to 475 of the family's 1533-position model. The record is from RNAcentral.
AUUGAACGCUGGCGGCAUGCUUUACACAUGCAAGUCGAACGGUAACAGGUCUUCGGAUGCUGACGAGUGGCGAACGGGUGAGUAAUGUAUCGGAACGUGCCCAGUAGUGGGGGAGUAACUACUCGAAGAAGUGGCUAAUACCGCAUGAGAACUGAGGUUGAAAGACGGGGGAGUCUUCGGACCUCGCGCUAUCAGAUGAGCCUGCGUAGGAUUAGCUUGUUGGUGAGGUAAAGGACUCACCAAGGCGACGAUCCUUAGCUGGUCUGAGAGGAUGAUCAGCCACACUGGAACUGAGACACGGUCCAGACUCCUACGGGAGGCAGCAGUGGGGAAUAUUGGACAAUGGGCGAGAGCCUGAUCCAGCCAUGCCGCGUGCAGGAAGACGGCCCUAUGGGUUGUAAACUGCUUUUGUACGGGAAGAAACACCCCUCGUGAGGGGCGUUGACGG